GAGUUUGAUCAUGGCUCAGAACGAACGCUGGCGGCAUGCCUAACACAUGCAAGUCGAACGGGAUCCUGGUUUCGGCCAGGUGAGAGUGGCGGACGGGUGAGUAACGCGUGGGAACCUGCCCAGUGGUGGGGGAUAACUGCGGGAAACUGCAGCUAAUACCGCAUGAGCCCGAGAGGGGAAAGAUUUAUCGCCAUUGGAGGGGCCCGCGUUCGAUUAGGUAGUUGGUGGGGUAACGGCCUACCAAGCCGACGAUCGAUAGCUGGUCUGAGAGGAUGAUCAGCCACACUGGGACUGAGAUACGGCCCAGACUCCUACGGGAGGCAGCAGUGGGGAAUAUUGGACAAUGGGGGCAACCCUGAUCCAGCAAUGCCGCGUGAGUGAUGAAGGCCUUCGGGUUGU
RNAcentral lists this ribosomal RNA (399 nucleotides) under uncultured Alphaproteobacteria bacterium. RNAcentral describes it as "bacterial SSU rRNA". It matches the Rfam family "Bacterial small subunit ribosomal RNA", at positions 9 to 426 of the family's 1533-position model. Lineage: Bacteria; Pseudomonadati; Pseudomonadota; Alphaproteobacteria. The record is from RNAcentral.